CAGAGACGAUAACCAUGUGUGUAGUCUAGACUCGGUUGAGUCUGGGCGACGUCACCCCUAUGCUGGGACCCUAUAGCUACUAUAGCGGACCAGCAGCCAGGCUUUCCUGGUUCACAGAUUAGGUGGUGGCGGUCUCUAGCAUUGGUGCUGGGAUCAAGAUAUAAUCGGUCUCCGUAGUUUGUGGCUACGGUUGAAAAACGUUCCGUAGGUGAACCUGCGGAAGGAUCAUUA
RNAcentral lists this ribosomal RNA (231 nucleotides) under Verrucaria sp. RNAcentral describes it as "partial 18S small subunit ribosomal RNA". Lineage: Eukaryota; Fungi; Ascomycota; Eurotiomycetes; Verrucariales; Verrucariaceae. The record is from RNAcentral.